UACGGGAGGCAGCAGUGAGGAAUAUUGGUCAAUGGACGAGAGUCUGAACCAGCCAAGUAGCGUGAAGGAUGACUGCCCUAUGGGUUGUAAACUUCUUUUAUAAGGGAAUAAAGUGAGGGACGUGUCCCUUUUUGUAUGCACCUUAUGAAUAAGGAUCGGCUAACUCCGUGCCAGCAGCCGCGGUAAUACGGAGGAUCCAAGCGUUAUCCGGAUUUAUUGGGUUUAAAGGGAGCGUAGGUUGACAUAUAAGUCAGCUGUGAAAGUUUACGGCUCAACCGUGAAAUUGCAGUUGAUACUGUAUGUCUUGAGUGUACAAGAGGUGGGCGGAAUUCGUGGUGUAGCGGUGAAAUGCUUAGAUAUCACGAAGAACUCCAAUUGCGAAGGCAGCUCACUGGGGUACAACUGACACUGAGGCUCGAAAGUGUGGGUAUCAAACAGGAUUAGAUACCCUGGUAGUCCACACAGUAAACGAUGAAUACUCGCUGUUUGCGAUAUACAGUAAGCGGCCAAGCGAAAGCAUUAAGUAUUCCACCUGGGGAGUACGCCGGCAACGGUGAAACUCAAAGGAAUUGACGA
RNAcentral lists this ribosomal RNA (576 nucleotides) under uncultured bacterium. RNAcentral's name for it is "bacterial SSU rRNA". It matches the Rfam family "Bacterial small subunit ribosomal RNA", at positions 340 to 916 of the family's 1533-position model. The record is from RNAcentral.